AUUGAACGCUGGCGGCAUGCCUUACACAUGCAAGUCGAACGGUAACGGGCCUUCGGGUGCCGACGAGUGGCGAACGGGUGAGUAAUGUAUCGGAACGUACCUUUCAGUGGGGGAUAACGUAGCGAAAGUUACGCUAAUACCGCAUAUUCUGUGAGCAGGAAAGCAGGGGAUCGCAAGACCUUGCGCUGAUUGAGCGGCCGAUAUCAGAUUAGCUAGUUGGUGAGGUAAAGGCUCACCAAGGCGACGAUCUGUAGCGGGUCUGAGAGGAUGAUCCGCCACACUGGAACUGAGACACGGUCCAGACUCCUACGGGAGGCAGCAGUGGGGAAUUUUGGACAAUGGGGGCAACCCUGAUCCAGCCAUGCCGCGUGAGUGAAGAAGGCCUUCGGGUUGUAAAGCUCUUUCGGCCGGGAAGAAAUCGUAUGGGCUAAUACCCUGUGCGGAUGACGGUACCGGCAUAAGAAGCACCGGCUAACUCCGUG
This 482-nucleotide ribosomal RNA is filed under the name uncultured bacterium. RNAcentral's name for it is "bacterial SSU rRNA". It matches the Rfam family "Bacterial small subunit ribosomal RNA", at positions 30 to 507 of the family's 1533-position model. The record is from RNAcentral.